Molecule: long non-coding RNA, 1584 nt
Organism: Saccostrea cuccullata (small rock oyster)
Lineage: Eukaryota; Metazoa; Mollusca; Bivalvia; Ostreida; Ostreidae
Exons: 3
Source: RefSeq, a predicted model, not a curated record
GGGUCUUACUGAGCUAUGUUACAAUUAAUUUGACAUUUAAAGGCUUUAAUUUUAACUCUUUGGUUAAUUACUAAAAAAUAACGUUUAUAAUAUUUUACAAGAUGUAACCAUGGAAAUAAUUAUAAUCUUAUAAUAUGUAAAAUAGUUUGAAUAAUAUUUAUCAUUGAACAAAUCUUGCAAAUUUAUGCGUGUUAAUUAUUGUGUGACCUUUCUGCACUAAAUAUUAACAUAUUUGAGGUAUUAAAAAACUAAAUAGGCAAUAAAAUAUUUUGUUAAAUCAAACUUUUAACGAAUUAAGUGCUGAUUAGUCACGAGUAUCGAGUACAUGUAGUUUAAAAUAAUGAAAUAAAAAUUUGGGGCCAGUGAUAUUAAUUUUGAAAUAUUGGUCAAAACGCGUGUUUUUUAGUUGGAAAACAGUGUAAUUUUUCUACAUAUCUUCAUUUCUCGGCAACGUUUGUUGAGGGAAGGUGUAAAAUUUGUUCUAAAUAUAUAGAUUUAGACCUUAGAAAAUAUUCUCUGAUUGAAAGUAUAUGGACUAAAGUUCCAAGAUAUUAAUUUUAUUAAAUAUGCAGAAUUUUCUGCUUAAUAUCCUUCCACCACAAGAAAUAAUCCCUCAUAAAUGUUUCUUCUUUGUGGAUUUUUGAGCAGUUUUUCAUUGAAUGUUGAAUAAAAUAUAUUGUUUUAUUUACAUAUGUUAUAAAAAUUGAAUUAUAACAAAGAGUUUUGAAGUAAGGGGCUCUGUGUGAACUUUUCUAAAAAGCUGACGAGUGACAUACGUUAAUUCAUUCGCAUGAUCAACACAAUCUUUCUUUUUUUAUUCCUUUUUUCUGUUUUUUUUUAAGACAUGGUUUAAUAAGAAAAUGUACAUACAUAUUUUUUUCCAUUUGUAAUUUUUUAUGUUCAAUGUAUUCUUUCAUUUUCAUUUUAGAAAUACAAAAAAAAUGUUUUAAAACUCUUUAUUUUUUUCAUUUAAACUAAUGCUUGUUAAGUAAAAGUUUAGGGUUUUGUUCACUGAUCUUGUCAAGAAGCACACUACAAGUUAAAGCGAUCGACAGUGGAUGCUUACUCCUCCAUAUGGCACCUGAUCCCAUCUAUGAUAUUUUACAGGUUUCUGCAUCUCUUCGCAGUUGAAAUUUCAUCUCGUAUAGAACCCUGAAUCCAUUUGGAAAUACAGGUUACAACGGACUUUUCAAUGGAAGAGGGAUUUGAUACAACAUAUAUCUCCUAGCUUCAGAUGGCCUUGAUAUCAACGACUUUGACCGUUCGGCAAGGAAAUCUUACUCCUCCAUGGCACCUGAUCCCAACCUCUGACGGUUGGAGGUCCAUAUCUGCUCCACUCCUAUUUUGAAAUGUCUAAUGGACUUUGAGCUCGAAUAGUAUUCGUUACCUCCUCAUAUAUUUGAAGUGCCAUGAAAGUGAAAGUGAUAGCCCAGAUUUUAGAGUUCAGUAAUUAACUUAGACAUAUAACAUUUGUCAGGAUCAUGAUAAAGCAUUUAAUUUGAAUCAUUCCAUUGAAGGAUUAUGGGUAUAUAAACCUGGAAACCAUUUAAAUAUGCAGUUUGAUCUUUAAAAAACAAUCUUGAG